Phyllopteryx taeniolatus (common seadragon) is the source of this 302-nucleotide long non-coding RNA. RefSeq lists it as uncharacterized. The transcript is spliced from 3 exons. NCBI's taxonomy places the organism in Eukaryota, Metazoa, Chordata, Actinopteri, Syngnathiformes, Syngnathidae. The record is from RefSeq and is a predicted model, not a curated record.
GAAAUCAGAUGGAUGACGUUCCGCUGUGUUUCGUUGACCUUAUUUCAGCUACAAGUGAGGGUGAAAAUAGUACAGACAACGGUGAACGCUAUACAAAAAAAGCUGACCUUGAUUAAUCCCCUGCAGCUAUUUCUGCAUUCCUCCGACGAGAUGAUACAUGGCUCCGACGGCCGCGCGGCUGCACAAACGCGCCACUUUUUCCUCCCCUCAUGUGGAGAAAUCAGCCCAGACGUGAGAAAACACUACCUGGCCAUUUCACCGUCAGCGCGGCAUUCAGUUGGAAAAGAAAGCCGAGACGGAGA